RNAcentral lists this ribosomal RNA (619 nucleotides) under Burkholderia sp. IBb344. Its description in RNAcentral is "bacterial SSU rRNA". It matches the Rfam family "Bacterial small subunit ribosomal RNA", at positions 383 to 995 of the family's 1533-position model. Lineage: Bacteria; Pseudomonadati; Pseudomonadota; Betaproteobacteria; Burkholderiales; Burkholderiaceae. The record is from RNAcentral.
CUGAUCCAGCAAUGCCGCGUGUGUGAAGAAGGCCUUCGGGUUGUAAAGCACUUUUGUCCGGAAAGAAAACCUUGGCCCUAAUACGGUGGGGGGAUGACGGUACCGGAAGAAUAAGCACCGGCUAACUACGUGCCAGCAGCCGCGGUAAUACGUAGGGUGCAAGCGUUAAUCGGAAUUACUGGGCGUAAAGCGUGCGCAGGCGGUUUGCUAAGACCGAUGUGAAAUCCCCGGGCUCAACCUGGGAACUGCAUUGGUGACUGGCAGGCUAGAGUAUGGCAGAAGGGGGUAGAAUUCCACGUGUAGCAGUGAAAUGCGUAGAGAUGUGGAGGAAUACCGAUGGCGAAGGCAGCCCCCUGGGCCAAUACUGACGCUCAUGCACGAAAGCGUGGGGAGCAAACAGGAUUAGAUACCCUGGUAGUCCACGCCCUAAACGAUGUCAACUAGUUGUUGGGGAUUCAUUUCCUUAGUAACGUAGCUUACGCGUGAAGUUGACCGCCUGGGGAGUACGGUCGCAAGAUUAAAACUCAAAGGAAUUGACGGGGACCCGCACAAGCGGUGGAUGAUGUGGAUUAAUUCGAUGCAACGCGAAAAACCUUACCUACCCUUGACAUGGUCGGAA